Molecule: ribosomal RNA, 517 nt
Filed under: uncultured Staphylococcus sp.
Lineage: Bacteria; Bacillati; Bacillota; Bacilli; Caryophanales; Staphylococcaceae
Description: partial 16S ribosomal RNA
Source: RNAcentral
CACGUAGUUAGCCGUGGCUUUCUGAUUAGGUACCGUCAAGAUGUGCACAGUUACUUACACAUUUGUUCUUCCCUAAUAACAGAGUUUUAAGAGCCGAAACCCUUCAUCACUCACGCGGCGUUGCUCCGUCAGGCUUUCGCCCAUUGCGGAAGAUUCCCUACUGCUGCCUCCCGUAGGAGUCUGGACCGUGUCUCAGUUCCAGUGUGGCCGAUCACCCUCUCAGGUCGGCUACGUAUCGUCGCCUUGGUAAGCCGUUACCUUACCAACUAGCUAAUACGGCGCGGGUCCAUCUAUAAGUGAUAGCAAAACCAUCUUUCACUUUAGAACCAUGCGGUUCUAAAUGUUAUCCGGUAUUAGCUCCGGUUUCCCGAAGUUAUCCCAGUCUUAUAGGUAGGUUACCCACGUGUUACUCACCCGUCCGCCGCUAACUUCAAAGGAGCAAGCUCCUUAUCUGUUCGCUCGACUUGCAUGUAUUAGGCACGCCGCCAGCGUUCAUCCUGAGCCAGGAUCAAACUCU